RNAcentral lists this ribosomal RNA (253 nucleotides) under uncultured bacterium. RNAcentral describes it as "partial 16S ribosomal RNA". It matches the Rfam family "Bacterial small subunit ribosomal RNA", at positions 524 to 776 of the family's 1533-position model. The record is from RNAcentral.
UACGUAGGUGGCGAGCGUUGUCCGGAUUUACUGGGCGUAAAGGGAGCGUAGGCGAACUUUUAAGUGAGAUGUGAAAUACUCGGGCUCAACUUGAGUGCUGCAUUUCAAACUGGAAGUCUAGAGUGCAGGAGAGGAGAAUGGAAUUCCUAGUGUAGCGGUGAAAUGCGUAGAGAUUAGGAAGAACACCAGUGGCGAAGGCGAUUCUCUGGACUGUAACUGACGCUGAGGCUCGAAAGCGUGGGGAGCAAACAGG